Molecule: ribosomal RNA, 503 nt
Filed under: uncultured bacterium
Lineage: Bacteria
Description: bacterial SSU rRNA
Rfam family: Bacterial small subunit ribosomal RNA
Source: RNAcentral
GACGAACGCUGGCGGCGUGCUUAACACAUGCAAGUCGAACGGUGAUCUUGAGAGCUUGCUCUUGGGUGAUCAGUGGCGAACGGGUGAGUAACACGUGAGUAACCUGCCCCUGACUCUGGAAUAACUUCGGGAAACCGAAGCUAAUACCGGAUAUGACACAGAGCCGCAUGGUUUCUGUGUGGAAAGUUUUUCGGUUGGGGAUGGACUCGCGGCCUAUCAGCUUGUUGGUGAGGUAAUGGCUCACCAAGGCGACGACGGGUAGCCGGCCUGAGAGGGCGACCGGCCACGACUGGGACUGAGACACGGCCCAGACUCCUACGGGAGGCAGCAGUGGGGAAUAUUGCACAAUGGGCGAAAGCCUGAUGCAGCGACGCCGCGUGAGGGAUGAAGGCCUUCGGGUUGUAAACCUCUUCAGUAGGGAAGAAGCGCAAGUGACGGUACCUACAGAAGAAGCACCGGACUAACUACGUAGCCAGCAGCCGACGGUAAAACGUGUGUGUACG